AUGGCCUGGGCUCCUGUCCUUCUCCUGGUCCUGUCUCACUGCUCAGGUUCCCUCUCCCAGCCUGUGCUGACUCAGCUGCCCUCCCUUUCUACAUCUCCUGGAUCAUCCGCCAGAUUAACCUGCACCCUGAGAAGUGGCAUCAAUGUUGGUAGCUACAGGAUAUACUGGCACCAACAAAAUCCAGGGAGCCUUCCCCGGUAUCUCCUGAGAUUCAAGUCAGACUCAGAUAAGCACCAGGGCUCUGGGGUCCCCAGCCACUUCUCUGGAUCCAAAGACCCCUCGGCCAAUGCAGGGAUCCUGCACAUCUCUAGGCUGCAGGCUGAGGACGAGACUGACUAUUACUGUGCCAUAUGGUACAACAAUGCUUCUCACAGUGACACAAGCAAAUGGAGAGGUAUCCCUGAUCACUUCUCUGGUUCCAAGUCUGGAAACAUGGCCUCCCUGACCAUCUCGGGCCUUCAGGCUGAGGACGAGGCUGAUUAUUACUAUUUCACAUGGGACAGCAGUCUGAAUGUUGACACAGUGCUCCAGACUCAUGGGGAACUGAGACAAAAACCUGCCCCUGCUCCCCGGUGA
Non-coding RNA from Nycticebus coucang (slow loris), 576 nucleotides. Lineage: Eukaryota; Metazoa; Chordata; Mammalia; Primates; Lorisidae. The record is from the annotation of a RefSeq genome assembly.